RNAcentral lists this ribosomal RNA (106 nucleotides) under uncultured bacterium. Its description in RNAcentral is "partial 16S ribosomal RNA". It matches the Rfam family "Bacterial small subunit ribosomal RNA", at positions 356 to 460 of the family's 1533-position model. The record is from RNAcentral.
GAGGAAUAUUGGGCAAUGGAGGCAACUCUGACCCAGCCAUGCCGCGUGCAGGAAGACUGCCCUAUGGGUUGUAAACUGCUUUUAUACAGGAAGAAACCGCUCUACG